GGGCUAGCGGGGAUGCUUACACAUGCAGUCGAACGGCAGCACGGACUUCGGUCUGGUGGCGAGUGGCGAACGGGUGAGUAAUGUAUCGGAACGUGCCCAGUAGCGGGGGAUAACUACGCGAAAGCGUAGCUAAUACCGCAUACGCCCUACGGGGGAAAGCAGGGGAUCUUCGGACCUUGCACUAUUGGAGCGGCCGAUAUCGGAUUAGCUAGUUGGUGGGGUAACGGCCUACCAAGGCGACGAUCCGUAGCUGGUUUGAGAGGACGACCAGCCACACUGGGACUGAGACACGGCCCAGACUCCUACGGGAGGCAGCAGUGGGGAAUUUUGGACAAUGGGGGAAACCCUGAUCCAGCCAUCCCGCGUGUGCGAUGAAGGCCUUCGGGUUGUAAAGCACUU
RNAcentral lists this ribosomal RNA (399 nucleotides) under Achromobacter sp. PD-P19. RNAcentral describes it as "bacterial SSU rRNA". It matches the Rfam family "Bacterial small subunit ribosomal RNA", at positions 35 to 435 of the family's 1533-position model. Lineage: Bacteria; Pseudomonadati; Pseudomonadota; Betaproteobacteria; Burkholderiales; Alcaligenaceae. The record is from RNAcentral.